This 2288-nucleotide ribosomal RNA is filed under the name Acinetobacter colistiniresistens. RNAcentral describes it as "partial 23S ribosomal RNA". It matches the Rfam family "Bacterial large subunit ribosomal RNA", at positions 657 to 2925 of the family's 2925-position model. Lineage: Bacteria; Pseudomonadati; Pseudomonadota; Gammaproteobacteria; Moraxellales; Moraxellaceae. The record is from RNAcentral.
AUAGGGGAGCCGUAGAGAAAUCGAGUCUUAAUAGGGCGUUUAGUUGCUGGGUAUAGACCCGAAACCAGGCGAUCUAUCCAUGAGCAGGUUGAAGGUUGGGUAACACUAACUGGAGGACCGAACCCACUGUCGUUGAAAAGCCAGGGGAUGACUUGUGGAUAGGGGUGAAAGGCUAAUCAAGCCUGGUGAUAGCUGGUUCUCCCCGAAAGCUAUUUAGGUAGCGCCUCGGACGAAUACCAUUGGGGGUAGAGCACUGUUUCGGCUAGGGGGUCAUCCCGACUUACCAAACCGAUGCAAACUCCGAAUACCAAUGAGUACUAUCCGGGAGACAGACUGCGGGUGCUAACGUCCGUAGUCAAGAGGAAAACAAUCCAGACCGCCAGCUAAGGCCCCAAAAUCAUAGUUAAGUGGGAAACGAUGUGGGAAGGCAUAGACAGCUAGGAGGUUGGCUUAGAAGCAGCCACCCUUUAAAGAAAGCGUAAUAGCUCACUAGUCGAGUCGGCCUGCGCGGAAGAUGUAACGGGGCUAAAACUAUGUGCCGAAGCUGCGGAUUUGACUUUAAGUCAAGUGGUAGGGGAGCGUUCUGUAAGCCGAUGAAGGUGUAUUGAGAAGUAUGCUGGAGGUAUCAGAAGUGCGAAUGCUGACGUGAGUAACGACAAAACGGGUGAAAAACCCGUUCGCUGAAAGACCAAGGGUUCCAGUCCAACGUUAAUCGGGGCUGGGUGAGUCGACCCCUAAGGCGAGGCCGAGAGGCGUAGUCGAUGGGAAAUUGGUUAAUAUUCCAAUACUUCUGUGUAAUGCGAUGAGAGGACGGAGAAGGUUAAGUCAGCCUGGCGUUGGUUGUCCAGGUGGAAGGCAGUAGGCAUGCAUCUUAGGCAAAUCCGGGGUGCUCUAUGCUGAGAGCUGAUAGCAAGCUGUACUUGUACAGUGAAGUGGCUGAUACCAUGCUUCCAGGAAAAGUCUCUAAGCUUCAGUUACACAGGAAUCGUACCCGAAACCGACACAGGUGGUCAGGUCGAGUAGACCAAAGCGCUUGAGAGAACUCUGCUGAAGGAACUAGGCAAAAUGGUACCGUAACUUCGGGAGAAGGUACGCUGCUGACGGUGAUGGGACUUGCUCCCUGAGCUAUUGGCAGCCACAGAAACCAGGCCGCUGCAACUGUUUAUUAAAAACAUAGCACUCUGCAAACACGAAAGUGGACGUAUAGGGUGUGAUGCCUGCCCGGUGCUGGAAGGUUAAUUGAUGGGGUUAGCGUAAGCGAAGCUCUUGAUCGAAGCCCCAGUAAACGGCGGCCGUAACUAUAACGGUCCUAAGGUAGCGAAAUUCCUUGUCGGGUAAGUUCCGACCUGCACGAAUGGCAUAAUGAUGGCGGCGCUGUCUCCAGCAGAGGCUCAGUGAAAUCGAAAUCGCUGUGAAGAUGCAGUGUACCCGCGGCUAGACGGAAAGACCCCGUGAACCUUUACUGCAGCUUGACAUUGAACUUUGACCUUACUUGUGUAGGAUAGGUGGGAGGCUUUGAAGUUAGAACGCUAGUUCUAAUGGAGCCGUCCUUGAAAUACCACCCUGGUAAUGUUGAGGUUCUAACUCUGCCCCGUAAUCCGGGGCGAGGACCAUGUCUGGUGGGUAGUUUGACUGGGGCGGUCUCCUCCUAAAGAGUAACGGAGGAGUACGAAGGUGCGCUCAGCGUGGUCGGAAAUCACGCGUAGAGUAUAAAGGCAAAAGCGCGCUUAACUGCGAGACCCACAAGUCGAGCAGGUACGAAAGUAGGUCUUAGUGAUCCGGUGGUUCUGUAUGGAAGGGCCAUCGCUCAACGGAUAAAAGGUACUCUGGGGAUAACAGGCUGAUACCGCCCAAGAGUUCAUAUCGACGGCGGUGUUUGGCACCUCGAUGUCGGCUCAUCUCAUCCUGGGGCUGAAGCAGGUCCCAAGGGUAUGGCUGUUCGCCAUUUAAAGAGGUACGCGAGCUGGGUUUAGAACGUCGUGAGACAGUUCGGUCCCUAUCUACCGUGGGCGCUGGAAAUUUGAGAGGAUCUGCUCCUAGUACGAGAGGACCAGAGUGGACGAACCUCUGGUGUACCGGUUGUGACGCCAGUCGCAUCGCCGGGUAGCUAUGUUCGGAAGGGAUAACCGCUGAAAGCAUCUAAGCGGGAAGCCUACCUCAAGAUAAGAUUUCCCUAGGAAUUUAUUCCUCUAAAGAGCCGUUCGAGACUAGGACGUUGAUAGGUUGGGUGUGGAAGCACGGUGACGUGUGAAGCUGACCAAUACUAAUUGCUCGUGAGGCUUGACUAU